RNAcentral lists this ribosomal RNA (330 nucleotides) under uncultured bacterium. RNAcentral describes it as "bacterial SSU rRNA". It matches the Rfam family "Bacterial small subunit ribosomal RNA", at positions 568 to 898 of the family's 1533-position model. The record is from RNAcentral.
UGUGUAGGCGGCCUGUUAAGUUCCGUGUGAAAUCUCCCGGCUUAACCGGGAGGGUGCGCGGAAAACUGGCGGGCUAGAGUACGGGAUGGGAGAGUAGAAUUCCUGGUGUAGCGGUGAAAUGCGUAGAUAUCAGGAGGAAUACCGGUGGUGUAGACGGCUCUCUGGACCGUAACUGACGCUGAAACACGAAAGCGUGGGUAGCAAACAGGAUUAGAUACCCUGGUAGUCCACGCCCUAAACGAUGCAUAUUUGGUGUAGGCAGUUCAUUCUGUCUGUGCCGGAGCUAACGCGUUAAAUAUGCCGCCUGGGGAGUACAGUCGCAAGGCUGAA